Molecule: ribosomal RNA, 800 nt
Filed under: uncultured Alphaproteobacteria bacterium
Lineage: Bacteria; Pseudomonadati; Pseudomonadota; Alphaproteobacteria
Description: bacterial SSU rRNA
Rfam family: Bacterial small subunit ribosomal RNA
Source: RNAcentral
AACGAACGCUGGCGGCAGGCCUAACACAUGCAAGUCGAGCGCGCCCUUCGGGGUGAGCGGCGGACGGGUUAGUAACGCGUGGGAACGUACCCAGAUCUACGGAAUAGCCUUUGGAAACGAAGAGUAAUACCGUAUACGCCCUUCGGGGGAAAGAUUUAUCGGAUUUGGAUCGGCCCGCGUUAGAUUAGAUAGUUGGUGGGGUAACGGCCUACCAAGUCUACGAUCUAUAGCUGGUUUUAGAGGAUGAUCAGCAACACUGGGACUGAGACACGGCCCAGACUCCUACGGGAGGCAGCAGUGGGGAAUCUUGGACAAUGGGCGCAAGCCUGAUCCAGCCAUGCCGCGUGAGUGAUGAAGGCCUUAGGGUCGUAAAGCUCUUUCGCCAGGGAUGAUAAUGACAGUACCUGGUAAAGAAACCCCGGCUAACUCCGUGCCAGCAGCCGCGGUAAUACGGAGGGGGUUAGCGUUGUUCGGAAUUACUGGGCGUAAAGCGCGCGUAGGCGGGUUGUUAAGUUAGAGGUGAAAUCCCGGGGCUCAACCCCGGAACUGCCUUUAAUACUGGCAACCUAGAGUUCGAGAGAGGUGAGUGGAAUUCCGAGUGUAGAGGUGAAAUUCGUAGAUAUUCGGAGGAACACCAGUGGCGAAGGCGGCUCACUGGCUCGAUACUGACGCUGAGGUACGAAAGUGUGGGGAGCAAACAGGAUUAGAUACCCUGGUAGUCCACACCGUAAACGAUGAAUGCCAGUCGUCGGGCAGUAUACUGUUCGGUGACACACCUAACGGAUUAAGCAUUCCGCCUG